UAGGGAAUNCUUCGGCAAUGGGGGCAACCCUGACCGAGCAACGCCGCGUGAGUGAAGAAGGUUUUCGGAUCGUAAAGCUCUGUUGUAAGUCAAGAACGGGUGUGAGAGUGGAAAGUUCACACUGUGACGGUAGCUUACCAGAAAGGGACGGCUAACUACGUGCCAGCAGCCGCGGUAAUACGUAGGUCCCGAGCGUUGUCCGGAUUUAUUGGGCG
Molecule: ribosomal RNA, 215 nt
Filed under: uncultured bacterium
Lineage: Bacteria
Description: partial 16S ribosomal RNA
Rfam family: Bacterial small subunit ribosomal RNA
Source: RNAcentral